UCUCUCUCGGCCCCGUUCUUUCGUCUCUCUCCCCGACCUCUCCUCUUCUUCGACCUGGCUGUGUUACCCUCACCCUAGUGUGCCGCUGCCCCCAGCCACUACCGGCGCGAACAUCAAGCCACGACUCAAUCUCUCGAUCUCGACCCUGAGUGGCGGUCGCCACCGCCAGGCAUAGGCAUCGAACGGGGUGCGACGAAUUUAUUUCAAACUUCCUCCAUGUCAUAGGCAUCGCGUUGCCGUUGUGGGCCGCCGGCCGCCGGACGGUCGGAGCAUCCCAAUCUCGCAAGAAGAGCUUAUGGAAGGGAUGACCUUAAACGGCCGUCGACACGUUCUACCCCCCGGCCAAGCUGGUUGCGAUGAACAAGGGCUGGUCCUCCACUAAUUCUGCUGCAAGCAGUUGCUUGCCCCGUUCAGCGUCAAGUGAACAGUACAAGAUAUACUUACAAUGACGCAUACAUAUUUGCUGAUGGUAUUUAAGGUGCUCUUCACAGUGCGGCCAUCACUUCUGUUUGCCUGGUAAUAUUUGACAUUUGGCAUAAUAAGAUUAGUAAUACCCAUAAGUGAUCUUUAUUGCCCAAACAGUGAGUCUACAAUGAGAGUUUCCCAUUCCUGCAAGAACUUAGAAGUGUUCUGACAUAGAUAGAUAGUACAUAUUGUAUAGUAAGCAUUGAACUUAAGUAACUCCAAUUGCAGUUGGUUAAUCAUUCUCUUCCAAAAUUAAGAUGUUACAAGUUAUAUCAACAACUUUUCCCAUUUGCCAUUAGUAUUUAAUACUAUUGCAUUCAUAAAUUGAUAUAGGAUAAGUUCAGAUUUACUUGACAGAGUGAAAGAUGAAGGGAAGGCCAAAAUUCACCUGCAACAAUUUUAGCAGAAAAGUUAUCGUGUGGCCGGUUAGAGAUAUAAUAAGGGUGAGAGCUAGGAACACAUUAAAAGCUAAGUCAGGCUAAAUGAAUGGCAAAUCGACAAAUUUGUUACUGGAGCAGUGGCCCACCCCGUGUAACGCUUACUUAUAUGCAAUCGAAGCCUAGACGAGACUGAUGAGAAACCAAAGGCAUCGUUGUCUGCCGCCAACACACUCCCUUUUGCCUACGAUGUCCUUCUCCUCUAUGUGCAACGGAUGAUGGUUCUGGUUGUGUACUCAAUAAGGUGAGUUGGCUGUUGCUUGAUUUAAAAUUGGGACAAUAGGUUUCUUGAUUUGUCCCGUGGCAACCUUUUUUCUGGUAGGUUUUUUCAAACAAUUCUUCUUCUAUGAUAAGUUGAUAACACUGAGAUUAUCAGGAAAGGAUUCAGAGUUUGCUGAAUCCAGAUUACCACACACAUGAUGCAGAAUUAACAACCAGGACUUUGAAGGAUGGAUGACGGUGCUUAUUAUGUGGUAGAAAUCAAAUAUCGAAAGGAGAAUAUAAUGUUAUCGAAGUCGAGGGGAGAGACAUAUGGGCUGGGAGUUCUGGAUUUGAUGUCGUCACACUGAUCAAUUCCACCGUGCUAGAUGAAAAUCCCGUCGCCAUCGAUGCCUCGUUCGCCGUGUGUGCUGGCCCUUACCUCCGCACUGGCAUAUGGUAGUUUCUUCCUUCCUGAUGUUCAAUUGAUAAGCAUGAUCAUGUUGUGUCAUAGCGUGUACAUUUGCUCGGAAGAAAUAGGUGUCUGCUUAUUUCCUUUC
Triticum urartu is the source of this 1660-nucleotide long non-coding RNA. RefSeq lists it as uncharacterized. NCBI's taxonomy places the organism in Eukaryota, Viridiplantae, Streptophyta, Magnoliopsida, Poales, Poaceae. The record is from RefSeq and is a predicted model, not a curated record.